RNAcentral lists this ribosomal RNA (482 nucleotides) under uncultured bacterium. Its description in RNAcentral is "partial 16S ribosomal RNA". It matches the Rfam family "Bacterial small subunit ribosomal RNA", at positions 30 to 507 of the family's 1533-position model. The record is from RNAcentral.
AUUGAACGCUGGCGGCAUGCUUUACACAUGCAAGUCGAACGGUAACAGGCCGCAAGGUGCUGACGAGUGGCGAACGGGUGAGUAAUGCAUCGGAACGUGCCCAGUCGCGGGGGAUAACUACUCGAAAGAGUAGCUAAUACCGCAUACGAUCUAUGGAUGAAAGCGGGGGACCGUAAGGCCUCGCGCGAUUGGAGCGGCCGAUGUCAGAUUAGGUAGUUGGUGGGGUAAAGGCUCACCAAGCCAACGAUCUGUAGCUGGUCUGAGAGGACGACCAGCCACACUGGGACUGAGACACGGCCCAGACUCCUACGGGAGGCAGCAGUGGGGAAUUUUGGACAAUGGGCGCAAGCCUGAUCCAGCAAUGCCGCGUGCAGGAAGAAGGCCUUCGGGUUGUAAACUGCUUUUGUACGGAACGAAACGGCUCUGGUUAAUACCCGGGGCUAAUGACGGUACCGUAAGAAUAAGCACCGGCUAACUACGUG